This 253-nucleotide ribosomal RNA is filed under the name uncultured prokaryote. RNAcentral describes it as "partial 16S ribosomal RNA". It matches the Rfam family "Bacterial small subunit ribosomal RNA", at positions 524 to 776 of the family's 1533-position model. The record is from RNAcentral.
UACAGAGGGUGCGAGCGUUAAUCGGAAUUACUGGGCGUAAAGCGUGCGUAGACGGUUAUUUAAGUCGGAUGUGAAAGCCCCGGGCUCAACCUGGGAACUGCGUCCGAUACUGGAAGGCUUGAAUCCGGGAGAGGGAUGCGGAAUUCCAGGUGUAGCGGUGAAAUGCGUAGAUAUCUGGAGGAACACCGGUGGCGAAGGCGGCAUCCUGGACCGGUAUUGACGCUGAGGCGCGAAAGCCAGGGGAGCAAACGGG